This 484-nucleotide ribosomal RNA is filed under the name uncultured bacterium. RNAcentral's name for it is "partial 16S ribosomal RNA". It matches the Rfam family "Bacterial small subunit ribosomal RNA", at positions 30 to 507 of the family's 1533-position model. The record is from RNAcentral.
AUUGAACGCUGGCGGCAGGCCUAACACAUGCAAGUCGAGCGGAUGAAGGGAGCUUGCUCCUGGAUUCAGCGGCGGACGGGUGAGUAAUGCCUAGGAAUCUGCCUGGUAGUGGGGGAUAACGUCCGGAAACGGGCGCUAAUACCGCAUACGUCCUGAGGGAGAAAGUGGGGGAUCUUCGGACCUCACGCUAUCAGAUGAGCCUAGGUCGGAUUAGCUAGUUGGUGGGGUAAAGGCCUACCAAGGCGACGAUCCGUAACUGGUCUGAGAGGAUGAUCAGUCACACUGGAGCUGAGACACGGUCCAGACUCCUACGGGAGGCAGCAGUGGGGAAUAUUGGACAAUGGGCGAAAGCCUGAUCCAGUCAUGCCGCGUGUGUGAAGAAGGUCUUCGGAUUGUAAAGCACCUUAAGUUGGGAGGAAGGGCAGUAAGUUAAUACCUUGCUGUUUUGACGUUACCAACAGAAUAAGCACCGGCUAACUUCGUG